AUUGAACGCUGGCGGCAGGCCUAACACAUGCAAGUCGAACGGUAACAGGAAGAAGCUUGCUUCUUUGCUGACGAGUGGCGGACGGGUGAGUAAUGUCUGGGAAACUGCCUGAUGGAGGGGGAUAACUACUGGAAACGGUAGCUAAUACCGCAUAACGUCGCAAGACCAAAGAGGGGGACCUUCGGGCCUCUUGCCAUCGGAUGUGCCCAGAUGGGAUUAGCUAGUAGGUGGGGUAACGGCUCACCUAGGCGACGAUCCCUAGCUGGUCUGAGAGGAUGACCAGCCACACUGGAACUGAGACACGGUCCAGACUCCUACGGGAGGCAGCAGUGGGGAAUAUUGCACAAUGGGCGCAAGCCUGAUGCAGCCAUGCCUCGUGUAUGAAGAAGGCCUUCGGGUUGUAAAGUACUUUCAGCGGGGAGGAAGGGAGUAAAGUUAAUACCUUUACUCAUUGACGUUACCCGCAGAAGAAGCACCGGCUAACUCCGUG
Molecule: ribosomal RNA, 490 nt
Filed under: uncultured bacterium
Lineage: Bacteria
Description: partial 16S ribosomal RNA
Rfam family: Bacterial small subunit ribosomal RNA
Source: RNAcentral